GAUGAACGCUAGCGGCAGGCCUAAUACAUGCAAGUCGAACGGUAACAGGUGUAGCAAUACAUGCUGACGAGUGGCAGACGGGUGAGGAACACGUACACAACUUCCCUCUUACCGGGGCACAACUCAGAGAAAUCUGGGCUAAUUCCCCGUAAUAUCACGAUGUGGCAUCACAUUGAGAUUAAAACUCCGGUGGUAAGCGAUGGGUGUGCGUCUGAUUAGCAGUUGGUGAGGUAACGGCUCACCAAGGCAACGAUCAGUAACUGGUGUGAGAGCACGACCAGUCACACGGGCACUGAGAUACGGGCCCGACUCCUACGGGAGGCAGCAGUAAGGAAUAUUGGACAAUGGGCGAAAAGCCUGAUCCAGCCAUGCCGCGUGAGUGAAGAAGGCCUUAGGGUUGUAAA
Molecule: ribosomal RNA, 404 nt
Filed under: uncultured bacterium
Lineage: Bacteria
Description: bacterial SSU rRNA
Rfam family: Bacterial small subunit ribosomal RNA
Source: RNAcentral